This 300-nucleotide ribosomal RNA is filed under the name uncultured bacterium. Its description in RNAcentral is "bacterial SSU rRNA". It matches the Rfam family "Bacterial small subunit ribosomal RNA", at positions 115 to 430 of the family's 1533-position model. The record is from RNAcentral.
UAGCAGAAUUUUACCUUUUAGUUCAGCACAAAGACUUUUAUAAGUUUAAAUACUGAAUAUUUCCAAAGGUUAAUAACUUUCCGCUAAAAGAUAAAUCUGCAUAAGAUUAUGGUUGUUGGUAAUUUAAAAGCUUACCAAGCCUAUGAUCUUUAGUUGGUCUGAGAGGAUGAUCAACCACACUAGAACUGAAACAAGGUUUAGGCUGAAUUUUCGGCCAGCAGUGAGGAAUAUUGGACAAUGAGCGAAAGCUUGAUCCAGCAAUACUAACUGGGGUGACGACGGCUUAUUUAAGUUGUAAAG